ACAAACUUGGUCAUUUAGAGGAAGUAAAAGUCGUAACAAGGUUUCCGUAGGUGAACCUGCGGAAGGAUCAUUAUUGAAUUUAAAAAAAUAUGGUCAGGUUGAUUGCUGGCUUUUAAAAGCAUGUGCACACUUUGGCUUAUUUUUUUUUUUUUUUUUUUUCAAUACUCUCUUGUGCAUUUUUGUGUGGAUUGUAAAUCAAUUAUCGAAAUGGCUCGGUUAGAGAUAUGCUGUGUGAAAGCCAGCUUAUUCUUGGAUUUUCCAAUCUACAAUUUUUAUACACUCCUUUUGUAUAUAGAAUGUAGAUUUGAAAAAAAUAAAUCAAAUACAACUUUCAACAAUGGAUCUCUUGGCUCUCGCAUCGAUGAAGAACGCAGC
RNAcentral lists this unclassified non-coding RNA (375 nucleotides) under uncultured fungus. RNAcentral's name for it is "partial contains small subunit ribosomal RNA, internal transcribed spacer 1, and 5.8S ribosomal RNA". The stretch from base 1 to 73 matches the Rfam family "Eukaryotic small subunit ribosomal RNA", at positions 1759 to 1831 of the family's 1831-position model. Lineage: Eukaryota; Fungi. The record is from RNAcentral.